Non-coding RNA from Chelonoidis abingdonii (Abingdon island giant tortoise), 109 nucleotides. The record is from RefSeq and is a predicted model, not a curated record. NCBI's taxonomy places the organism in Eukaryota, Metazoa, Chordata, Testudines, Testudinidae.
UCAGGUAGUUCAAGGUUGCUAUCAAAUCCCCUGGUCAACGCUUCUCUUCUGCAGACUAAAUAAGCCAGUUCCCUCAGCCUCUCCUUAUAAUCAUGUACCCCCAGCCCCC